RNAcentral lists this long non-coding RNA (1443 nucleotides) under Capsella rubella. RNAcentral describes it as "long non-coding RNA (CRUB_LNC000158)". The record is from RNAcentral. Lineage: Eukaryota; Viridiplantae; Streptophyta; Magnoliopsida; Brassicales; Brassicaceae.
UACGCAAAGUCGGGGGUCAUAAAAACGGACCGAAAGCUUAUAGCUAAUACGCAAAGUCGGGGAUCAUAAAAACGGACCGAAACAACUUAGAGCUAAUACGCAAAGUCAGGGAUCAUAAAAACGGACCGAAAGAACUUAGUGCUAAUACGCAAUUUUGGUGGAUCAUAAAAACGGAUCCCCGAACUUAGAGCUAAAACGCAAAGUCGGGGAUCAUAAAAACGGACCAAAAGAACUUAGAGAUAAUACGCAAAUUCGGGAAUCAUAAAAACGGACCGAAAGAACUUAGAGCUAAUACGCAAAGUCGGGGAUCAUAAAAACGGACCAAAAGAACUUAGAGCUAAUACGCAAAGUCGGGGAUCAUAAAAACGGACCGAAAGAACUUGGUGCUAAUACGCAAAGUCAGGGAUCAUAAAAACGGACCGAAAGAACUUAGAGCUAAUACGCAAAGUCGGGGAUCAUAAAAACGGACCGAAAGAACUUAAAGCUAAUACGCAAAGUCGGGGAUCAUAAAAUCGGACCGAAAGAACUUAGAGCUAAUACGCAAAUUCAGGGAUCAUAAAAACGGACCGAAAAAACUUAGAGCUAAUACGCAAAGUCGGGGAUUAUAAAAACGGACCGGAAGAACUUAGAGCUAAUACGCAAAGUCGGGGAUCAUAAAAACGGACCGAAAGAACUUAGAGAUAAUACGCAAAUUCGGGGAUCAUUAAAACGGACCGAAAGAACUUAGAGCUAACACGCAAAGUCGGGGAUCAUAAAAACGGACCGAAAGAACUCAGUGCUAAUACGCAAAGUCGGGGAUCAUAAAAACGGACCGAAAGAACUUAGAGCUAUUGCGCAAAGUCGGGGAUCAUAAAAACGGACCGAAAGAUCUUAGAGAUAAUACGAAAAGUCGGGGAUCAUAAAAACGGACCGAAAGAACUUAAAGCUAAUACGCAAAGUCGGGGAUCAUAAAAACGGACCGAGAGAACUUAGAGCUUAUACGCAAAUUCAGGGAUUAUAAAAACGGACCGAAAAAACUUAGAGCUAAUACGCAAACUCGGGGAUCAUAAAAACGGACCGAAAGAACUUAGAGCUAAUACACAAAGUCAGGGAUCAUAAAAACGGACCGAAAGAACUUAGAGAUAAUACGCAAAUUCGGGGAUCAUAAAAACGGACCGAAAGAACUUAGAGCUAAUACGCAAAGUCGGGGAUCAUAAAAACGGACCGAGAGAACUUAGAGCUUAUACGCAAAGUCGGGGAUCAUAAAAACGGACCGAGAGAACUUAGAGCUAAUACGCAAAGUCGGGGAUUAUAAAAACGGACCGAAAGAACUUAGAGCUAAUACGCAAAUUCAGGGAUUAUAAAAACGGACCGAAAGACUUAGGAGCUAAUACGCAAAGUCGGGGAUCAUAAAACGGACCGAAAGGACUUAGAGCUAAUACGCAAAGUCGGGGAUCAUAAAAA